Molecule: ribosomal RNA, 889 nt
Filed under: uncultured eukaryote
Lineage: Eukaryota
Description: SSU rRNA
Rfam family: Eukaryotic small subunit ribosomal RNA
Source: RNAcentral
UAUGAGUGCUUCUACGGCGAAACUGCGAAUGGCUCAUUAAAUCAGUUACGGUCUAUUUGAUGACUUGUGACACGGAUAACUGGGGAAAUUCUUCAGCCAAUACGUGCUUCUAAGCCGACUUUGUGGAAGGUGAGUAUUUGCUCGAUUCUGAACCAACCCAGAUCUUCUGGGCUUUAAGUUGAGCGGAGAGUAAAUCUGUCCAAUCGCAUUGCACCGCGAUGCGAUGCAUCAUUCAAGUUUCUGACCUAUCAGCUUCCGAUUGUAGGGUAUUGGCUUACCAUGGCGAUGACGGGUAACAGCGAAUUUGGGUUCAGUUCUGGAGAGGGAGCCUGAGAAACGGCUACCACAUCUAAGGAAGGCAGCAGGCGCGUAACUUACCCAAUUCUGACACGGAGAGGUAGUGACAAGAAAUAACGAUACAGGGCAUUCAUGUCUUGUACUUGGGCUGAGUAGAAUGUAAACGACUCUAUGAGUAUCAAUUGGAGGGCAAGUCUGGUGCCAGCAGCCGCGGUAACUCCAGCUCCAAUAGCGUAUAUUGAAGUUGUUGUGGUUAAAAAGCUCGUCGUUGGAUUUCUGUUGAGGUCGAACAGUGCCGCCCUAUGGGUGCGCAACUGGCUCGGCUUCGGCAUCUUCUUGGAGAGCGUAUCUGCACUUAACUGUGUGGAUCGUACUUCAAGUCAGUUACUUUGAGGAAUUGUGAGUGUUUCAAGCAGGCUUACGCCGUUGAAUCCGUUAGCAUGGAAUAAUAGAAUAGGACCUCGGUUCUAUUUUGUUGGUUUUGAGAGCUGGGGCAGCGAUUGAUAGGGACGGAUGGGGGCGUCCGAACUUUACUGUCANNNUGAAAUUCUUNNAUCGGUCAAAGGCGAACUACUGCGAACGCAUUCGCCAA